This 706-nucleotide ribosomal RNA is filed under the name uncultured Pseudoalteromonas sp. RNAcentral's name for it is "bacterial SSU rRNA". It matches the Rfam family "Bacterial small subunit ribosomal RNA", at positions 60 to 768 of the family's 1533-position model. The record is from RNAcentral. Lineage: Bacteria; Pseudomonadati; Pseudomonadota; Gammaproteobacteria; Alteromonadales; Pseudoalteromonadaceae.
AGUCGAGCGGAACGAAGAGGAGCUUGCUCCUUUGGCGUCGAGCGGCGGACGGGUGAGUAAUGCUUGGGAACAUGCCUUGAGGUGGGGGACAACCGUUGGAAACGACGGCUAAUACCGCAUAAUCUCUACGGAGCAAAGGGGGCUUUUAGCUCUCGCCUUUAGAUUGGCCCAAGUGGGAUUAGCUAGUUGGUAAGGUAAUGGCUUACCAAGGCGACGAUCCCUAGCUGGUUUGAAAGGAUGAUCAGCCACACUGGAACUGAGACACGGUCCAGACUCCUACGGGAGGCAGCAGUGGGGAAUAUUGCACAAUGGGGGAAACCCUGAUGCAGCCAUGCCGCGUGUGUGAAGAAGGCCUUCGGGUUGUAAAGCACUUUCAGCAAGGAGGAAAGGUUAUAGUUAAUACCUGCUAGCUGUGACGUUACUUGCAGAAGAAGCACCGGCUAACUCCGUGCCAGCAGCCGCGGUAAUACGGAGGGUACGAGCGUUAAUCGGAAUUACUGGGCGUAAAGCGUACGCAGGCGGUUUGUUAAGCGAGAUGUGAAAGCCCCGGGCUCAACCUGGGAACUGCAUUUCGAACUGCAAACUAGAGUGUGAUACAGGUGGUAGAAUUUCAGGUGUAGCGGUGAAAUGCGUGAGAUCUGAGAAUACCGAUGGCAAAGCAGCCACCUGGGUCAACACUGACGCUCAUGUACUAAAGCGUGGGGAG